GUUUUCCCUUUGUUAAUCAUGCCCAGAACACCCAUCUCUGACAUCUCCGCCUCUGAGAAAAACAACUCGGGUGCGAGAGGCCUACGUUGCAUCACCACUGGAGGCCAGUAGUUCCCAAUCAGCCUGGAAAGAAUAGUAAGACGUUGUCUCUCCUAAAAAGAGAAAAAGAAAGAGAAAGGAAAAGGAAAAAAACAAAACAAAACAAAAACCAACAACUCACUUUUAUUAUUUUUCUGUAGUAUUUCUGUUCUUCAGUUGAUUUACUUCUGCAUUGAUUUUUGUUUCCUUUUUUCAGUGAACUUUGGAUUUAUUUUGUUGUUUUUUUCCUGGUUUCUUGAGGUGUAAUGUUUAUUUGAAGUCUUUCUAAUUUUUUAAUGUAUGCAUUUAUGGUUAUAAACUUGACUCUUAAGAGCUGUUUUUGCUGUUUCCAAAGAUUUUGUUAUGUUUGUUUUCACUUUUGUUGGCCUCAAUAUAUUUUCAAAUUUCCCUUUUGAUUUGUUCUUUGAUCAAUCAGUUGUUCAAAGGCAAGUUGUUUAAUUUCCACGUAUUUUUUAAUUUUCCAGUUUUCCUUAUGUAGUUAAUUUUUAGUUUCAUACCAUUGUGGUCAGAAAAGAUACUCGAUGGGAUUGGAAUCAUUGUUAAUUUGUCUAAGAUGUACUCUUCAUUAUUUUAAUUGAUGUAUAAUUGUUGCACACAUUUUGGGGAUACACAUGAUAUUUUGAUAAACAUAUACAAUUUAUAAUGAUCGAAUCAGUGUAAGUAGUAUAUCUGUCACCUCAAAACUUUAUCUUUUCUUUAUGUUAGGAAUAUCCCAAUUCCUCUCUUCUAGUUAUUUUAAAAUAUACAAGAAGUUAUUUUGAGUUAUAGUCUCCCUAAUAUACUAUCAAAUACUAGAACUUAUUCCUUCUAUUUAACUAUAUUUUAUAUGCAUUAACCAAUAUCUUUUCUUCCUUCUCCCCUAUCUCCUUCCCAGCCUCUUGUAACCACUAAUUUUAAUAUAUGAUAUGACACAUGAAUUCAGUUUUUUCUACUUGUUUAUUUUUAUAUGGUUACAAAUAUGUCACAUCCAUUGCUUAAAAAGAAAAUCUUCAAUCGUUUGUUGAAAUAUUAUGCAUUUUUAAAUACAUUGCUUUUUCAAGAUUGUCAAAAAUCUGUUCUCAAUAUAUGUGUUCAUUUAUAUUUGGACUCUAUUUUCUUUUGAUCCAUUUAAUUGAUCACAUACCAAAGCUCUGUUGUGGCCAUUACAACUCUGUGAUUGUUCUUUAAAUCAGGUGGAGCUAGCCCUCCAAUUUUGCACUUCGUUAUACAGGCAUUUUGGUUAUGCUAGUUCAUGUUAAUUUUAGAAUCAGCUGCCAUUUUCUACCAACGAUGCAUGCUGAAAUUUUGAGUCGGAUUGCAUUGAAUUCAUAGAUCAAAUUAGGGGAAAUGAACAUCUCAACAAUAUUCUUACACAUGAGCAAACAAUAUCUUUCCAGUUAUUAGGCCUGCACUAUGUUCUCCGUGAAAUAUGCUCUAAUUUUCAGUCAUAUUCACAUUUAUGGAUUUUAUACACUUGACAUUAUUGUAAAUGGUAUUCCUUUUACAUUUAAAUUCUGCCGUGCAAUUGCAUAAACACAAUUUAUUUUUGCAUAUUGAUCUUAUAUCCUGCUAGAAACAAAUGCUUUUUGGAUUCAGGUUUGAUCGGCCAGUGGCAAUAUCUUUGGAAACUUGCGUAUUUACCAGGUAUGAAGAGUCUUUCUCAUUUCAAUUGGAGCUUUAUCACCAGCCCAAGGGAGAGGAAUGUCCUAACGCAUAUCAAGUUCUGAGGUUGGGAAGAGUUUGUCCUUUGUAGACAAAUGCAUGUGAAAUGUUCUGUAUGUUCACCAAUAAGUUUUCCUUAAGAUUACUCAUGCAGUUAUAAGGCUGCCCAUCUGCACUUGUGUUUAGCUGCAAUACUAUAGUUGUAAAAUUUAGAAGCCAAUGUUCUCCCUUAGUUUAAAAUUUAAUAUUCAAGAAUCUAUUCCAACAUUAUGUAGUGCCAAAAACUUUGGGAUGAUAUGCAAUGAUAUGUCCAGCAAGUAUGAGUUUGUACCUGAUCCUUAUUAAUCUUCCUUCUGAUGUGAUCUAUUAUAAAAUGAGACCUUUAAGAGCUUUAAAAUAAUUAAUAAUGGCAUGCUGAGGAGGUUAGUUUGUGGGAUAUUCAGUAGCCGUAGGAAACAGUAGUUCCUACUCUGUAUCUCAAGUGGGAGUCCACUCUUCAGUAUGUCAGCUUCAAGACCCUGAUCUGCAGUGGAAUUUGCAGCCCCCUGCUGUGUCAGCUUCAUUACUUCAAGGGAGGGUGAAUGCCUUCAGUUCUUUAGGUCACAAUUGACACAUGUAGCACAUUUUGGUACCUCUUCAGUUACUGACCUUUAUGCCCACUCAUGUCAGGCUUGCUCACCUGAGUGAUUCACAAGAUCACAUUCCCAAUGCAUCAGAUCACAGUGUCACAAAAAAAAAAAGCAUUUAUUUUUCGUUAUGUAUCUCUCCUGAAUUUCAACCUUGAUAGGCUAACAUGGCUCACAAACAGCUUUAAAUUUGGUUUCUCAAAUGUCUGUCUAAUGGUUUACAAAAGUCCAGUUACUCAAAUGAAUUUAUCUUACAGUCCGGUUUUCUAUUGUUCCAUGCUGUGCCUCAGUGACAUAAACCAAGAGUCAGUAUAUAAAAAAGAUUUAUUCCCACUGGUUUAUAACCAACCAAUAACUAGUAUGCCUGUUAUAUAUAGUUCUGUGCAUUGGGUUGCCAGUCUCCUUCCUUCUUUUGCCUGAUUUUUGUUGGAAGUGGAGAUGAUGUAAUGUUAUGGGUCACUUCUAUUAGUGUCCCUGGACUACAGUUCUACCAUCUAUUUUUUAAGCUAUUUUACCUCGUUAUUAUAAGAUCUGCAUAUUUGUGAGCAUCAUUUAUGUUAUUAAUAGUUAACAUCUGGGGGGGUGGGGGAGGGAUAGCAUUAGGAAAUAUACCUAAUGUUAAAUGAUGAGUUAAUGGGUGCAGCGCACCAACAUGGCACAGGUAUACAUAUGUAACAAACCUGCACGUUGUGCACAUGUACCCUAAAACUUAAAGUAUAAUAAUAAAAAAAAAAGUUAACAUC
Molecule: long non-coding RNA, 3109 nt
Filed under: Homo sapiens (human)
Lineage: Eukaryota; Metazoa; Chordata; Mammalia; Primates; Hominidae
Description: HSALNT0295395
Source: RNAcentral